AAACCAUGGUGCGGGCACUCUCUCUGCAAAUCCUUGAAUCUCUCCCAAACCUCGAACAAACUCUCAUCUGCCUGUUGUAAUAGAAAUUAUCUGACCCC
This 98-nucleotide small nucleolar RNA is filed under the name Spinacia oleracea (spinach). RNAcentral's name for it is "Plant small nucleolar RNA R71". It matches the Rfam family "Plant small nucleolar RNA R71". From Rfam's summary of the family: R71 is a member of the C/D box family of snoRNAs containing the C (UGAUGA) and D (CUGA) box motifs. Multiple nearly identical copies of this snoRNA have been identified in Arabidopsis, and it is thought to function as a 2'-O-ribose methylation guide for 18S ribosomal RNA. Lineage: Eukaryota; Viridiplantae; Streptophyta; Magnoliopsida; Caryophyllales; Amaranthaceae. The record is from Rfam by way of RNAcentral.